This 497-nucleotide ribosomal RNA is filed under the name uncultured bacterium. Its description in RNAcentral is "partial 16S ribosomal RNA". It matches the Rfam family "Bacterial small subunit ribosomal RNA", at positions 28 to 507 of the family's 1533-position model. The record is from RNAcentral.
GAUGAACGCUGGCGGCGUGCCUAAUACAUGCAAGUCGAGCGAACAGACGAUGAUCUUGCUCCUCUGACGUUAGCGGCGGACGGGUGAGUAACACGUGGAUAACCUACCUAUAAGACUGGGAUAACUUCGGGAAACCGGAGCUAAUACCGUAUAAUAUAUUGAACCGCAUGGUUCAAUAGUGAAAUACGGUUGUUCUGUCACUUAUAGAUGGAUCCCCGCCGCAUUAGCUAGUUGGUAAGGUAACGGCUUACCAAGGCAACGAUGCGUAGACGACCUGAGAGGGGGGUCGGCCACCCUGGAGGUGAGACACGGUCCAGACUCCUACGGGAGGCAGCAGUAGGGAAUCUUCCGCAAUGGGCGAGAGCCUGACGGAGCAACGCCGCGUGAGUGAUGAAGGUCUUCGGAUCGUAAAACUCUGUUAUUAGGGAAGAACAAAUGUGUAAGUAACUAUGCACGUCUUGACGGUACCUAAUCAGAAAGCCACGGCUAACUACGUG